GACGAACGCUGGCGGCGUGCCUAAUACAUGCAAGUAGAACGCUGAAGGAGGAGCUUGCUUCUCUGGAUGAGUUGCGAACGGGUGAGUAACGCGUAGGUAACCUGCCUGGUAGCGGGGGAUAACUAUUGGAAACGAUAGCUAAUACCGCAUAAUAGUAGAUGUUGCAUGACAUUUGCUUAAAAGGUGCAAUUGCAUCACUACCAGAUGGACCUGCGUUGUAUUAGCUAGUUGGUGAGGUAACGGCUCACCAAGGCGACGAUACAUAGCCGACCUGAGAGGGGGAUCGGCCACACUGGGACUGAGACACGGCCCAGACUCCUACGGGGGGCAGCAGUAGGGAAUCUUCGGCAAUGGACGGAAGUCUGACCGAGCAACGCCGCGUGAGUGAAGAAGGUUUUCGGAUCGUAAAGCUCUGUUGUAAGAGAAGAACGAGUGUGAGAGUGGAAAGUUCACACUGUGACGGUAUCUUACCAGAAAGGGACGGCUAACUACGUG
RNAcentral lists this ribosomal RNA (495 nucleotides) under uncultured bacterium. RNAcentral's name for it is "partial 16S ribosomal RNA". It matches the Rfam family "Bacterial small subunit ribosomal RNA", at positions 28 to 507 of the family's 1533-position model. The record is from RNAcentral.